UGGAUGGUAGUGCACUGGGGGCCAGGG
RNAcentral lists this non-coding RNA (27 nucleotides) under Rattus norvegicus (Norway rat). Lineage: Eukaryota; Metazoa; Chordata; Mammalia; Rodentia; Muridae. The record is from RNAcentral.